This 117-nucleotide ribosomal RNA is filed under the name Methylobacterium sp. DB0501. RNAcentral describes it as "partial 23S ribosomal RNA". It matches the Rfam family "Bacterial large subunit ribosomal RNA", at positions 1 to 112 of the family's 2925-position model. The record is from RNAcentral. Lineage: Bacteria; Pseudomonadati; Pseudomonadota; Alphaproteobacteria; Hyphomicrobiales; Methylobacteriaceae.
GAGCGAUCAAGUGCCUUAAGAGCAUCUGGUGGAUGCCUUGGCGCUGAGAGGCGAUGAAGGACGUGGUACGCUGCGAUAAGCCUUGGGGAGCUGCGAACGAGCUUUGAUCCGAGGAUC